Molecule: long non-coding RNA, 467 nt
Filed under: Homo sapiens (human)
Lineage: Eukaryota; Metazoa; Chordata; Mammalia; Primates; Hominidae
Description: HSALNT0405468
Source: RNAcentral
CCUAGUGUCUGUCCUCAGCGGCUGCGGCCAGGGCUGGAGAGGUGUUCAUGGCCCAGGAAGGACAGAAAAGAAACCACUGCCUGAGGGUCUGGCUCAGCUCUGCAAUCCCUCCUCCCCAGGCUCCGUGACAGGCCCGAACCUGCCAUGGUCCCCUUUGCCCCUGCUGAAGCCCGCAGCACCCAGCACUACGAUUGCAUGUCUAAUCACAGGAAAUCCACUUUGGGAGGCUGAGACAGGAGGAUCCCUCAAGGCCAAGAGUUCAAGACCAGCCUGGGCAACAUAGUGAAACCCCGUCUCUACAUAAAUAAAAAUAAAAAAUAAAAACAAAUUAGCCAGGUGUGGUGGCACAUGCCUGUAGUCCUGGCUACUACGGAGGCUGAGGUGGGAGGAUCACUUGAGCCCAGGAGGUUGAGGCUUCAGUGAGCUACGAUUGUACUACUGCACUCCAGUUGGGGUGACAGAGUCAG